RNAcentral lists this ribosomal RNA (270 nucleotides) under Bacteroides sp. Its description in RNAcentral is "partial 16S ribosomal RNA". It matches the Rfam family "Bacterial small subunit ribosomal RNA", at positions 1 to 252 of the family's 1533-position model. Lineage: Bacteria; Pseudomonadati; Bacteroidota; Bacteroidia; Bacteroidales; Bacteroidaceae. The record is from RNAcentral.
CAACAACGAAGAGUUUGAUCCUGGCUCAGGAUGAACGCUAGCGACAGGCUUAACACAUGCAAGUCGAGGGGCAGCGGGGGUGAGGCUUCGGCCUUACCUGCCGGCGACCGGCGCACGGGUGAGUAACACGUAUGCAACCUGCCCAUAGCAGGGGGAUAACCCGGAGAAAUCCGGACUAAUACCGCGUACAAACCCCGGGAGACAUCUUCCGGGGUUGAAAGGGAGGCAACUUCCGGCUAUGGAUGGGCAUGCGGCGCAUUAGCUAGUUGG